GAGAGAGGAGCUAACAUCUGUUGCCCAUCUUCCUCUUUUUGCUUGAGCAAGAUUGCCGCUGAGCUAAUAUCUGUGCCCUUCUUCCUCUAUUUUAUGUGGGACGCUGCCACAGUGUGGCUUGACGAGUGGUGCUAGGUCUGUGCCCGGGAUCCGAACCUGCAAACCCCAGACCGGUGAAGCAGAGUGCGCAAACUUAACCACUACCCCACCAGGCCAGCCCCAAGAUGUGUAUUAUUUUAAGCAGCUACAUUUGUGGGAAUUUGCUAUAUAACAAUAGAAAAUGAAUAUAGUUACCUUAAAAACCUUAACAUUCAUAUUUAACUUAGUGUCUGAAGAUAAUAUCUUUACUAAGAAAAUAAAAGGACCUUAGAAUGUUUUCACUCCCUUUUACCACUCUUUCAUUAUACAUGCUAUUGUUAUCUAGGUGUAUCUAGCUUAAUUUAUUUAACCCUCAAAAUAAACGUCAUCGUCAUUAGUCUAUUCAGUGCUUGCUUCGAUUGACCCACAUUCACCGUGCUCUUUGCUCACAUGUCUUCUUACACUCAGACUUCCUCCUGUGUUUAUUAUCCCUCAUCCUGAAGUACAUUCUCUAGAAGAUCUUACAAUAAGGCUUUGCUCUAAUAAAAGCUCUCAAUUUUUUUUAGUCAGAAAAUAACUUUAUUUUAACCUCAUGUUUGAAAGAUUAUUUUGUUAGACAUAAUAGUGUUUAAACUUUAUCUUCUCUCAGUACACGUAACGUACCAUUUCACUGUCUUCUGGUUUCCUUUAUUGCUGCGGAACUAUCUCCUGUUAGUUUAAAUAUAAUUCUUUUAUAGAUACACUGUGUUUUUCUCUAGAUGCUUCUCACAUAGUCUCCUUGCUUUUGGUAUUCUAAAAUUUCACUGUGAGUUUAGGUGUAGAUUUCUUUUUAUUUAUUCUGUUUGCAAUUCUUUCUGUUUUCAGAAUCUGUGUAUUGGUAUUUCUCAUCACCAGAUGAAUAGAAGAAAUUCUCAGAGUCCGAGAAAUUUUCAGCCAUUAUCUCUUUGAAUAGU
Molecule: long non-coding RNA, 1031 nt
Filed under: Equus caballus (horse)
Lineage: Eukaryota; Metazoa; Chordata; Mammalia; Perissodactyla; Equidae
Description: lncRNA (ENSECAG00000044856.1)
Source: RNAcentral